Molecule: ribosomal RNA, 253 nt
Filed under: uncultured Bifidobacterium sp.
Lineage: Bacteria; Bacillati; Actinomycetota; Actinomycetes; Bifidobacteriales; Bifidobacteriaceae
Description: partial 16S ribosomal RNA
Rfam family: Bacterial small subunit ribosomal RNA
Source: RNAcentral
UACGUAGGGUGCAAGCGUUAUCCGGAUUUAUUGGGCGUAAAGGGCUCGUAGGCGGUUCGUCGCGUCCGGUGUGAAAGUCCAUCGCUUAACGGUGGAUCCGCGCCGGGUACGGGCGGGCUUGAGUGCGGUAGGGGAGACUGGAAUUCCCGGUGUAACGGUGGAAUGUGUAGAUAUCGGGAAGAACACCGAUGGCGAAGGCAGAUCUCUGGGCCGCAACCGACGCUGAGGCGCGAAAGCUAGGGGAGCGAACAGG